UACGGAGGGUGCAAGCGUUAUCCGGAUUUACUGGGUUUAAAGGGUGCGUAGGCGGGCCCUUAAGUCAGUGGUGAAAGCUCCGAGCUUAACUCGGAAACUGCCAUUGAUACUAUAGGUCUUGAAUUCGGUCGAGGUUGGCGGAAUGUGUCGUGUAGCGGUGAAAUGCGUAGAGAUGUGGAGGAACACCGAUGGCGAAGGCAGCCUUCUGGGCCAACACUGACGCUCAUGCACGAAAGCGUGGGGAGCAAACAGG
Molecule: ribosomal RNA, 253 nt
Filed under: uncultured bacterium
Lineage: Bacteria
Description: partial 16S ribosomal RNA
Rfam family: Bacterial small subunit ribosomal RNA
Source: RNAcentral